RNAcentral lists this ribosomal RNA (468 nucleotides) under uncultured bacterium. Its description in RNAcentral is "partial 16S ribosomal RNA". It matches the Rfam family "Bacterial small subunit ribosomal RNA", at positions 28 to 507 of the family's 1533-position model. The record is from RNAcentral.
GACGAACGCUGGCGGCGUGCUUAACACAUGCAAGUCGAACGGAAAGGCCCUGCUUUUGUGGGGUGCUCGAGUGGCGAACGGGUGAGUAACACGUGAGUAACCUGCCCUUGACUUUGGGAUAACUUCAGGAAACUGGGGCUAAUACCGGAUAGGAGCUCCUGCUGCAUGGUGGGGGUUGGAAAGUUUCGGCGGUGGGGGAUGGACUCGCGGCUUAUCAGCUUGUUGGUGGGGUAGUGGCUUACCAAGGCUUUGACGGGUAGCCGGCCUGAGAGGGUGACCGGCCACAUUGGGACGGAGAUACGGCCCAGACUCCUACGGGAGGCAGCAGUGGGGAAUAGUGCACAAUGGGCGGAAGCCUGAUGCAGCAACGCCGCGUGCGGGAUGACGGCCUUCGGGUUGUAAACCGCUUUCGCCUGUGACGAAGCGUGAGUGACGGUAAUGGGUAAAGAAGCACCGGCUAACUACGUG